GCUUAGAGGCAUCCCUGGAGGGGGACAUUUCCCCCUUGCAAACCCAAACUUCUAUCAAUAACUUCUACUUCCAAGAAGCCAGGCCCUCUUUCCUGCCUCUGGGUGCAACCAGCUGCUUAGAAGCUGGGCAAGGUUAGCACCAAUAACAGGACUAGGGAAACUCCCAGAACAGGCUCCUGAGGGGGAGCAGCAGUCUUUGCCCUGUCCCAGGGCGCUUCCCCAGUACAGCUCCAAUCCCUACAUAUCUGCCUGGCAGACCCGAGAAGAACUGAGCUGGAAUAGCUCCAGCCCCGUUCCUGCCACCAUUCCAUAACUCUUCUAAGGGUCUAUGGCGUGCUGCUCUCCGGAAGUUCAACUUCCAUCAGGCAGCACUUUCCUCACCAGGGUUUCUGGGAGGAUGCAAAUUCUAAAGUGUUCCGGUGCUCUCACCUGCAAGGACAUAUCAAUGGGGGAGGGGUAACGGGAGGUUUCCGAGUGAAGAGGCCGGUUCUUAGCCUCUUUGGCCUCUCCUCGGGAGCAAGGUUUGGCAGGGCUGGGGGAGGCAGGGCAGGGAAGCUGGAAGGUCUAGGGGUGCCAAGUGCACUCUGCAUUUCCUUCUGUAGGCCAACCCAGCCUUUACCCUCCCCACAAAGAUUGUCAGCUUUCCCGGGCGUGUCCCCCGCCCCUCCCCUCCCAGUGGCAGGGUGGGGACCAGAUCUGGAUUGGUACGAGUCCUUCUCCACAAAAAAAGGUGAAUCUCAUGAACAGCUAGAAUUGAAGACCCCAGCCUCCUGGAUCAUGAACUCCAUCCUGGGAGACUGUAUCCUGGGACUUGGCACAUGAAGCUGAUGUGUCGCUGCACGCUCUGAAUCUGAUGCUCCAGGGACAUGGUAUCCAUGGUAACCCAGGCCAAGGCCCCACCUGGGGAGGACCACAAAGUGAACACACAUCUUUUGAGCCCAUCUGUCCUGCCACACYGUCAGAUCCCUCGUGGUCACCUCUACUCUGGAGUCUUCUUGUCAUUGGGUAGAC
RNAcentral lists this long non-coding RNA (1011 nucleotides) under Urocitellus parryii (Arctic ground squirrel). RNAcentral describes it as "lncRNA (ENSUPAG00010017600.1)". The record is from RNAcentral. Lineage: Eukaryota; Metazoa; Chordata; Mammalia; Rodentia; Sciuridae.